GAGUUUGAUCGUGGCUCAGGAUGAACGCUGGCGGCGUGCCUAAUACAUGCAAGUCGAGCGAACGGACGAGAAGCUUGCUUCUCUGAUGUUAGCGGCGGACGGGUGAGUAACACGUGGAUAACCUACCUAUAAGACUGGGAUAACUUCGGGAAACCGGAGCUAAUACCGGGAUAAUAUUUUGAACCGCAUGGUUCAAAAGUGAAAGACGGUCCUUGCUGUCACUUAUAGAUGGAUCCGCGCUGCAUUAGCUAGUUGGUAAGGUAACGGCGUUACCAAGG
This 278-nucleotide ribosomal RNA is filed under the name uncultured microorganism. RNAcentral describes it as "partial 16S ribosomal RNA". It matches the Rfam family "Bacterial small subunit ribosomal RNA", at positions 9 to 273 of the family's 1533-position model. The record is from RNAcentral.